This 495-nucleotide ribosomal RNA is filed under the name uncultured bacterium. RNAcentral describes it as "partial 16S ribosomal RNA". It matches the Rfam family "Bacterial small subunit ribosomal RNA", at positions 28 to 507 of the family's 1533-position model. The record is from RNAcentral.
GAUGAACGCUGGCGGCGUGCCUAAUACAUGCAAGUAGAACGCUGAAGGAGGAGCUUGCUCUUCUGGAUGAGUUGCGAACGGGUGAGUAACGCGUAGGUAACCUGCCUGGUAGCGGGGGAUAACUAUUGGAAACGAUAGCUAAUACCGCAUGACAACAGUUAUUGCAUGAUAACUGUUUAAAAGGGGCAACUGCUCCACUACCAGAUGGACCUGCGUUGUAUUAGCUAGUUGGUGAGGUAACAGCUCACCAAGGCGACGAUACAUAGCCGACCUGAGAGGGGGAUCGGCCACACUGGGAAUGAGACACGGCCCAGACUCCUACGGGAGGCAGCAGUAGGGAAUCUUCGGCAAUGGACGGAAGUCUGACCGAGCAACGCCGCGUGAGUGAAGAAGGGUUUCGGAUCGUAAAGCUCUGUUGUAAGAGAAGAACGAGUGGGAGAGUGGAAAGUUCACACUGUGACGGUAUCUUACCAGAAAGGGACGGCUAACUACGUG